This 1024-nucleotide ribosomal RNA is filed under the name uncultured Comamonadaceae bacterium. Its description in RNAcentral is "bacterial SSU rRNA". It matches the Rfam family "Bacterial small subunit ribosomal RNA", at positions 388 to 1394 of the family's 1533-position model. Lineage: Bacteria; Pseudomonadati; Pseudomonadota; Betaproteobacteria; Burkholderiales; Comamonadaceae. The record is from RNAcentral.
CCAGCAAUGCCGCGUGCAGGAUGAAGGCCUUCGGGUUGUAAACUGCUUUUGUACGGAGCGAAAAGGCUUCUCCUAAUACGAGGGGCUCAUGACGGUACCGUAAGAAUAAGCACCGGCUAACUACGUGCCAGCAGCCGCGGUAAUACGUAGGGUGCGAGCGUUAAUCGGAGAUUACUGGGCGUAAAAGCGUGGCGCAGGCGGGUUUUGUAAGACAGAUGUGGAAAUCCGGGCCUCACUGGGAACUGCAUUUGAGACUGCAAGGCUAGAGUGUGGCAGAGGAGAGGGGGGUAGAAUUCCGCGUGUAGCAGUGAAAUGCGUAGAUAUGCGGAGGAACACCGAUGGCGAAGGCAAUCCCCUGGACCUGUACUGACGCUCAUGCACGAAAGCGUGGGGAGCAAACAGGAUAGAUACCUUGGUAGUCCACGCCCUAAACGAUGUCAACUGGUUGUUGGGUCUUUGCUGACUCAGUAACGAAGCUAACGCGUGAAGUUGACCGCCUGGGAAGUACGGCCGCAAGGCUUAAAACUCAAAGGAAUUGACGGGGACCCGCACAAGCGGUGGAUGAUGUGGAUUAAUUCGAUGCAACGGCGAAAAACCUUACCUACCCUUGACAUGUCAGGAAUCCCGGAGAGAUUUGGGAGUGCUCGAAAGAGAGCCUGAACACAGGUGCUGCAUGGCUGUCGUCAGCUCGUGUCGUGAGAUGUUGGGUUAAGUCCCGCAACGGAGCGCAACCCUUGUCAUUAAUUGCCAUCAUUCAGUUGGGCACUUUAAUGAGACUGCCGGUGACAAACCGGAGGAAGGUGGGGAUGACGUCAAGUCCUCAUGGCCCUUAUGGGUAGGGCUUCACACGUCAUACAAUGGUCGGUCCAGAGGGUUGCCAACCCGCGAGGGGGAGCUAAUCUCAGAAAGCCGAUCGUAGUCCGGAUUGGAGUCUGCAACUCGACUCCAUUGAAGUCGGAAUCGCUAGUAAUCGCGGAUCAGCAUGUCGCGGUGGAAUACGUUCCCGGGCCUUGUACACACCGCC